UAUCCUAAUGGUUGUAAGUCGCUUUGGAUAAAAGCGUCAGCUAAAUGACAUGUA
Regulatory RNA element from Gasterosteus aculeatus (three-spined stickleback), 54 nucleotides. It matches the Rfam family "UnaL2 LINE 3' element". Rfam says of the family: The eel long interspersed element (LINE) UnaL2 and its partner short interspersed element (SINE) share a conserved 3' tail containing a stem-loop that is critical for their retrotransposition. Presumably, the first step of retrotransposition is the recognition of their 3' tails by UnaL2-encoded reverse transcriptase. Lineage: Eukaryota; Metazoa; Chordata; Actinopteri; Perciformes; Gasterosteidae. The record is from Rfam.